AUACGGAGGGUGCGAGCGUUGUUCGGAAUCAUUGGGCGUAAAGCGCGUGUAGGCGGUCGAUUAAGUCUGGUGUGAAAGCCCGGGGCUCAACCCCGGAAGUGCACUGGAUACUGGUCGGCUAGAGGAUGAGAUAGGAAAGCGGAAUUCCUGGUGUAGGGGUGAAAUCCGUAGAUAUCAGGAGGAACAUCAGUGGCGAAGGCGGCUUUCUGGCUCAUUUCUGACGCUCAGACGCGAAAGCGUGGGGAGCAAACAGG
This 254-nucleotide ribosomal RNA is filed under the name uncultured bacterium. RNAcentral describes it as "partial 16S ribosomal RNA". It matches the Rfam family "Bacterial small subunit ribosomal RNA", at positions 523 to 776 of the family's 1533-position model. The record is from RNAcentral.